UACGUAGGGUGCGAGCGUUGUCCGGAAUUAUUGGGCGUAAAGGGCUCGUAGGCGGUCUGUUGCGUCAGGAGUGAAAACUCGGGGCUUAACCCCGAGCCUGCUUCUGAUACGGGCAGACUAGAGGUAUGCAGGGGAGAACGGAAUUCCUGGUGUAGCGGUGAAAUGCGCAGAUAUCAGGAGGAACACCGGUGGCGAAGGCGGCACUCUGGGCCGGUACUGACGCUGAGGAGCGAAAGCGUGGGGAGCGAACAGG
RNAcentral lists this ribosomal RNA (253 nucleotides) under uncultured bacterium. RNAcentral describes it as "partial 16S ribosomal RNA". It matches the Rfam family "Bacterial small subunit ribosomal RNA", at positions 524 to 776 of the family's 1533-position model. The record is from RNAcentral.